CCGGCCUAGUUUGCGGCUGCUCCUGACGUGUUGCGUAGGGCGCCUGUGCUUGGGUGGUUUGUGCUUGAGGUUGAGGGUUGCGUCGCUCUCUGGUAAAGGCGUGCGGGUGUUGGCCGCGGCCUCUGAGCUGGGAUGAGCCGUGCUCCCGGUGGAAGCAAGGGAGCCCAGCCGGAGCCAUGGCCAGUACAGUGGUAGCAGUUGGACUGACCAUUGCUGCUGCAGGAUUUGCAGGCCGUUACGUUUUGCAAGCCAUGAAGCAUAUGGAGCCUCAAGUAAAACAAGUUUUUCAAAGCCUACCAAAAUCUGUAAGACUUAACACUUUUGCUAAUUCUUUGCUGCUUCUAUUUGAAACCUAGAGGCACACUUAAGGAAGGGUAAAUUUCCAAAUAUCCAUGAAGUUCUAAGUGAUUGCCUUGGACCCAUUCUCCUGCUUCCCGCAAGUAGAGUGUAGAAGUUCUGAACUUUGUAAUGGUGCUACCCUGAAACAUCAGAUGUUAUAUGUGACAAAGUUGGAUGGGGUUUUGACAAUUCUAGUACCCUACUAGACCCAAGUUUCUUGUGAAAUAAUCACUUUUUCACAUACCAUCACCUUCAGCAUCAUCUGUACAUAUUCUUGUUUUCCUUCAUCUGCUCUGCAUCGCACACACAGAGGUAUAUGAUUCUAAAGUGAUCCGAUCUUACCAUGUGGCCCUGGCACUCCCAAACAUCAUACAUAGGUAGCACUCUAGUUAAUUAGGCUAUAGGGUUUGGCUUGAUGUUACAGUGAUACCCUCUGUGAUCAUCUGUUGAAUAUUUAUGUUGUGAUUAAGUGUAACAGAAUAGAGUAAUUGUAGGCUUUACCAAUAUGAUUUCUGACAUGGCAAGGUCAGAGGACCUAAUAGUGGUAUUUUCUGUAUAUAUUUCUUAAAGUAUAAACAUCUUAAAGAUGUUUCAAAUACCGUUGAACCUCUUGUCUCAAAAGACUUCCAGAUCCUGUUCUUGAGCCACUUCUUGCAGAUUUUUGUCUAGAAUAUGGCUAAUUUGGAACGAUCUUUCCUUUACUCCUGGAAGACCUGGCUUUCAGACACUGUUUUUUUGUCUUAUAUUUCCAAGAUAGUUCAUAUUGGCUGGAAAAAAAUGAAUCUGUUUAAUGAUCAUUAAAAUACUACUCAUUGCUACUUAUUUAU
RNAcentral lists this small RNA (1166 nucleotides) under Pongo abelii (Sumatran orangutan). RNAcentral describes it as "retained intron". Lineage: Eukaryota; Metazoa; Chordata; Mammalia; Primates; Hominidae. The record is from RNAcentral.